AAUCGUUUUACACACAGGACGGACGGUCAAGUGCGUGUGGUCCUCGUCAUCACCCAUAAGACCGUCUGCUGGCAUCAGGCAAGCAGGGUCACAACACCUCACUUUUCCAGUGAAAUAAUCCAUUCAUCAAGGAGAAAUUGAAUCGGAAAGGUAACACGUGUGGCAUGCAUCAAGUGAGUUCUCUGGUUAGGGUCUCACAAGGCUGAAAUCAAGGUGUCAGUGGGCCUGGGACCUUACCUGGAGGCUCCGGGGAAAAAGCAGCUGCCAAGCUCAUUCAUCCAGAUGAAGAAAAUGAGGCAGCAAGGCACUGCUCCGAGUUUAAGAAAUGGGAAUGAGUGGAGAGCUUGGAAAGUGAGAGCCACAAUAUUGGGCCCUUCUGUGGAAGAAGCUGAGUAGCCAGAUCAAGGAAAUGAGGCAGCAGUGAUUUGAGGGACACUGAGAAAUGGAAUAUUUCCUGCCAUAUCAACAAACAAAGGAUGUCACAGUCGUCAACGAUUUCAGCCCUCCAAUGUGAGCCAGUGAGCCAAGGAAAUUCAGGGCUGAAAAGAAUACCUG
Molecule: long non-coding RNA, 555 nt
Organism: Lagenorhynchus albirostris (white-beaked dolphin)
Lineage: Eukaryota; Metazoa; Chordata; Mammalia; Artiodactyla; Delphinidae
Exons: 7
Source: RefSeq, a predicted model, not a curated record